This 1034-nucleotide non-coding RNA is filed under the name Candidatus Adlerbacteria bacterium RIFCSPHIGHO2_02_FULL_52_17. RNAcentral's name for it is "bacterial SSU rRNA". It matches the Rfam family "Bacterial small subunit ribosomal RNA", at positions 1 to 937 of the family's 1533-position model. The record is from RNAcentral. Lineage: Bacteria; Candidatus Adleribacteriota.
UUAAUUCAGAGUUUGAUCCUAGCUCAGGGUGAACGCUGGCGGUGUGGAUAAGGCAUGCAAGUCAAGGGGUACUGAGAGCAAUCGAAGUACACCGGCAGACGAGGUAGUAACACGCAGGUACGCACCGAAAAGUCGGGCAUAGCUCGUCGAAAGACGGGGUAAUUUCCGAUAGUCCCGUCACACGAAAAAGCAUCGCGAAGCAUGCGAUUUGUUGAGAUUGUUUUUUUUAAAUCUCACGAUUGCUUGUAUACAAAUUGUAGAACCACAUCAUGUGGCUUCGCAUAAAUCGUUAUACUUUUUCGUGUGACGGGUAAAGCAGCAAUGCGCUUUUUGAGCGGCCUGUGUCGCAUCAGCUAGUUGGUAGGGUAACGGCCUACCAAGGCUAUGACGCGUAGGGGACCUGAGAGGGUGACCCCCACCGAUGGUACUGAGAUACGGACCAUACACCUACGGGUGGCCGCAGUCGAGAAUCUUCCGCAAUGGGCGAAAGCCUGACGGAGCGACGCCGCGUGAUUGAUGAAGUCCUUCGGGACGUAAAGAUCUUUUAUGCGUGAGAAAGUUAUUGAUGUUAGCGCAUGAAUAAGAGGCUCCUAACUCUGUGCCAGCAGGAGCGGUAAUACAGAGGCCUCAAGCGUUACCCGGAAUUACUGGGCGUAAAGGGUGUGUAGGCGGUUUUGUUAGUCUCUCGUGAAAGGUCUCGGGCUUAACCCGGGAACCGCGGGGGAAACGGCAAAACUUCGAGGAUGCGAGAGGUAGAGGGAACUCACAGUGUAGGGGUGAAAUCCGUUGAUAUUGUGGGGAACACCAAAAGCGAAAGCACUCUACUGGCGCACUCCUGACGCUGAAACACGAAAGCGUGGGUAGCGAACGGGAUUAGAUACCCCGGUAGUCCACGCCCUAAACGAUCACAACUGGCUUUGGGGAGUAUCGACCCUCUCCGAGGCGAAGCUAACGCGUUAAGUUGUGCGCCUGGGUAGUACGAUCGCAAGAUUAAAACUCAAAGGAAUAGACGGGGACUUGCACAAGCGGUGGAU